This is a long non-coding RNA of Canis lupus familiaris (dog), 3412 nucleotides long. RefSeq lists it as uncharacterized. Lineage: Eukaryota; Metazoa; Chordata; Mammalia; Carnivora; Canidae. The record is from RefSeq and is a predicted model, not a curated record. The transcript has 2 exons.
GCGGGGACCCGACGCGGGACUCGAACCCGGGACCCCGGGGUCACGCGCUGAGAAAAAGCGGCAGCUGAAUGAAUGCAAGCCCGCCCGGCCCGCCCGGCCCGGCCCGGCCCACGCGGGACGAGCGCCCACUGUGUGCCCGGCGCGUGCUGGGCCUCAACCAGUGAUCGCCAGCCUCAGAACAACCCUUUGAAAUCGGUGCUUUGGUCUUCCCCAGAUGGGUGAAUCCGCCCAGCGUUAGGGAGCGGAUGGGGGGUCAGAGGAUUUGAAAAUAAAUAAAUAAGCAAACAAACAAACAAAUAAAUAAAUCCUUAUACACACGAUUCAGGAACAAUCGGGUCAAAGUUUUAAAUCCCCCCACACGGCUUUCUGUUGCACAACCAAAGAAACAUAAGAAAUUCUGCAGAUUCUUAAAAGAAGCCUUUCCUGAUCUUUCCCCAACAGUGAAACCAGUCUUUUCAAAAGUUGCCCCCGUCCUAGUUGUCAGUUCAAUGACUUCUUUCUGAUCUUCUCUCUACUUGGCCUUUCUUGCAGUUAACGCAGUUAAACCACUUCCUCUUGCGUAAAGCUUCGCUAGUCUUCCACAAAUCCAGGGUCCCCUUUUCCUCCCCCUCCCUCCUGUUCCUUUGUAAACUCCUCCCCUGGUUCUACUUUCCCUUGUCUUCAGUGCAGGUCCCCUCCCCGACAGCAGCAUGACCCAAAGUGUGCUCCUUGGGCGCACGCUGCGCAGUUGGCGGAUACCCACAAAGAAGUAAGCACAGGGAUCGAGAGCGAGUGCUUAGCAGCCCUUAGAGCGAUUUAAUAUUUCAGCUACAUCCGAGCACAUGAUCGUCGGACACCUCUCAUUAAACAGAACAUGGAACAGGUCAGGUGUUCCCUAACUUGUGGGGUUGCGGGUGGCAUGACUGUGUCCCUGUCAUGUGCAGUAGGGCCACAUUAUAGGGAGUGAAAUGCCAAGGCAAGUAUCGUUACCUGUAACCCAAAAGUGAAUACAAAUCUGUGAAAAUGUAAAUAUUUAUUUACUUUUUUGUUACAGUUUUAGUCAUUUUAAUUUUUAAUCCAGCCUAUUUUUUUUUUGAGAUUCAUAGCAAAAUUAGGGAAGUAAAGUUUGUGUCAUUUGUUUUUCACCCUAAAUUAUAGAUGGUGAUGUAAGCCUUCCUGUCCUGUUUUGUCAGGAAAAGACACAUGUCAGUAGUAUGUCCGUAAUAAUAGUAGUAAACCAAUGACCAGAGGAGUGAUUAUAAAGAAUUAAAGAUUAUUUUUACUAGUUUUACUCAGAAGUGUCAUCUUCCUUCUAUUGAGUUCAUAGCCAAAACUCAUAGUAAAUAUUAAAACCGUAACUGACUAUUGAAGCAAUAAGGCCAUCAAACUUCAGUAGCAUUCACAUAUAAAAUAUAAAGAAACUAAUUAUGAGUUUGACAAAACAUUUGGAAUUUUUAUUUUCCAUGAAAAUAAUCUCCACACAUAGGGAAUUCAUGGAUCCAGAAUCCAUUUCUUUAACUGAAGGGUACUCUAAAUGUAACUAUCAUUUAGUAGGACAAAGUUUUGGAACUUAUAAUGAACUGACACUAUUACUGAUGAGAUGAAUCUUGAAAAUAAAGCGUUAUUUGCUCCAUUUUGUAUAAAAAACAAAAGUGAAUAUCCUGAGCUUGAUGAAAUAGUCUUAAAAUCACUUGCAUUCCAUUAAACGUAUCUCUGAGAGACUAAUUUCUCUACAGUGAGGGUUACUGAAUAAAACCUAGAAACAGUUUAGAUAUACAAUAUCUCAGCCAUGCAACCUAGCUUAGAUCAUUUAACAGACCCAAGAAACACAUUCAUCUGUCAAAAAUGUACAACUACUGACAAAUUUAAAAUAUUAAAUACAGCGUUUAAUAUGGGAGAUUGCUCCUUCACUCCCAACCUUGUGAUUGUCACAACUAUGGAAUGAUAAAAAACUGACCAUAUAUUCACAGUUCGUCAUAUUAAUCGCCUAUUUGCACGCUUUCAGUGAAAGUAGCUUUUGUAGUUUCUUCUUUUAUGCGAUGUAACUUUUUGUUCUAUGUUUUUUGAAAUGUAAUUUUAUAUCUGUUUAAAAUACUAAAAAAAAUGUGAGUUUGUCAUUUUUUUGUUUUCAUUUUUCAAAUUAUUUAAAUUUUUUUUGUUUUCCAGAAGUAUCAAUUCACAAAGUUUAAAACAAAGGAAAGGUCCUUCACAGAUAGUGUGACAUAACGCUGGCCUAAAAGAUCCCCACCUCUCCUCUCCAUUUGCUUUAUUUCAUUUCCAUGAUUCAACUCAUCUCCAUUAGAGUCUUUCAGGUUUCAAGAAAAACAGAGAUCUACUAUUUUACUUUAAUUAUUCAGGAUUAUGGAUGAGUUUAAGUGAGAAAAGUGAAAGAGACAAAAAACUAAAAAAUAAGAGUCCCUUCUGCUGCAGUCAUGUGCCCUGUCAUCCAUCCAACAGCUGACUCCCAUCUUUCCUGCCUCUGUGAACACUGCUCAUCUUCCUCUCUUUAUAAUUUUCUCCUGCCACAAUGACUCCCUCUCUGUAUCACUAAUUCACAUUUCGCAGGAGAGAGAAUAACACUGGUUCCCCUACUAAACUGGAAUUUACAUUAGCAGGACCAGAUAACAUAAUUUGCGGGACCCGGAGCAAAAUGAAAAUGCAAGGCCCCUUAUUCACAAAUUAUUGAGAUUUUCCGGAUGGUGAGUGUGGAACAUUAAACCAAGCACAGUGCCUUUCUAAAUGGACUGUUAGAGAACUGCAUAGCUCACCCGCCCACAAAGCCAGCCACAUCCAGGAGAGUGCAUCUAUACUUGUUCUGCUAACGAGGGUGUCCCCAUGCCUCACCUGUGCCCAUGACACUGAGCAAUCAAUUGGGCGUGAUACCAAGUGGUGCUAGUUUGGUACGAUUUCAUUUGUAUUGGUUUCCUCUCCUCCCCCGUCCACUCCCCUUUGCCUUCACUCCUAUUUCUUUCAAACUGCACUCAGUCUCUACUUUCUAGAGAACCCAAGCUAAAAGACUUGUCUCCCAAGUGUCCUGGAGACACUCAGGAUGGGAUAUUAGAGGUGGGUUAACCACUGGUCUUAGGACAAUAAAGACCGAGGCGUGGUUUGUGGGUCGUAGGUGAGGCCACACAGGGGGAUCAUAAUUACUAAGACUUCCCACCUGUGGCCAGUCGGAUGCAGUGCACCUGAAAGUGAGACAUUGGACUGUGUAGUGGCAGUGAUGCCCGAGCAGCAUGAGGACAAUAUUGUAGAGAUUGGGACGGAUUCUGUUACUGGAAUUGCAUACUUUGUACAAGAAAACGAUACAUCAGGGCAGUCAGCUCUCACCUUAAGGUAUAUUAAGAAAGGCUUAAUAUGGAAAGGCUUCCGUUGGACAUAUUUUUUUUUAAAGAUUGAAAUAAAUAAAUAAAUAAAUAAAUAAAGAUUGUGA